This 74-nucleotide transfer RNA is filed under the name Candidatus Tagabacteria bacterium RIFCSPLOWO2_01_FULL_42_9. Its description in RNAcentral is "tRNA-Met". It matches the Rfam family "tRNA". From Rfam's summary of the family: Transfer RNA (tRNA) molecules are approximately 80 nucleotides in length. Their secondary structure includes four short double-helical elements and three loops (D, anti-codon, and T loops). The record is from RNAcentral. Lineage: Bacteria; Candidatus Tagaibacteriota.
AGCGGGGUGGAGGAGCAGUACCUCGUCAGGCUCAUAACCUGAAGGCGCCGGCGCAAAUCCGGCCCCCGCAACAA